RNAcentral lists this long non-coding RNA (686 nucleotides) under Sorghum bicolor (sorghum). RNAcentral describes it as "long non-coding RNA (SBIC_LNC009401)". Lineage: Eukaryota; Viridiplantae; Streptophyta; Magnoliopsida; Poales; Poaceae. The record is from RNAcentral.
CAUGGCGGCCUCACCUCCCUCUUCUUCCGGCCACCCUCCAACCGCCACCCCCUCCCCUCCCCUCCCCUCCCCUCCCGGUGGCAGCCCACAUCCUAGUCGGACUGUCGUUCCUGAGCACGCCCGUAAGCCCAUUGUCUCUCUUGCUACCAUGGUGCGCCCCCGCUUGACCGUCGCCAUCGGCGCAUUGGCAGGUGGGAACGGGGGCAAGGUUUCCACGGUCGAUGCGUGCCCAAGGCGCUUGCCCCCGACAUGACCUAGCGCACGCUCUUGUGAUGUCGUAUGGCCGCAUCGCUAAGGUCGUCAACGCCUAUUGAUUUGAUUUUAUAAGUUGUCUUUCUAGAGUUUUGAUUUUGGUUUGGAUUUGGAUGGCUGUGGGGAUUUUGAUUCAGUCUCGGUUUGGUCCCUUUUCCUAGCGCCUCGCUUGCUGAUUGAUUUGGGUGACCUGAGGAAAUCUAUCUCAUCUAUUCGAUUUUGGAUCGAGAUGGUUAGAGAGGGGGCCAGACGAAAGUUUGAUCCAGACGAAAAUUUAGGCUUGUCGCUCCACGAGCAUGUGCGUCGUCGCAUCGCCACCUCGCAUCCUCCGCCUGCUCUUCUUCUAACUGUCAAUGACCUCCACCGCCUGCGACGCCCCGCCAGAGCUCUGCACGACACCCCCGCAUGCGCCCUCCGCCGGCCGCGACGUGGCC